GACGAACGCUGGCGGCGUGCCUAAUACAUGCAAGUAGAACGCUGAAGCGAGGAGCUUGCUCUUCUUGGCUGAGUUGCGAACGGGUGAGUAACGCGUAGGUAACCUGCCUUGUAGCGGGGGAUAACUAUUGGAAACGAUAGCUAAUACCGCAUAACAAUGGGUGACACAUGGUGUUUAUUUGAAAGGGGCAAUUGCUUCACUACAAGAUGGAUCUGCGUUGUGUUAGCUAGUAGGUGAGGUAACGGCUCACCUAGGCGACGAUACAUAGCCGACCGGCGAGGGGGGACGGCCACACUGGGAAUGGGACACGGCCCAGAGCCCUACGGGAGGCAGCAGUAGGGAAUCGUCGGCAAUGGGGGCAACCCUGACCGAGCAACGCGGCGUGAGUGAAGAAGGUUGUCGGCUCGUAAAGCUCUGUUGUAAGUCAAGAACGAGUGUGAGAGUGGAAAGUUCACACUGUGACGGUAGCUUACCAGAAAGGGACGGCUAACUACGUG
Molecule: ribosomal RNA, 497 nt
Filed under: uncultured bacterium
Lineage: Bacteria
Description: partial 16S ribosomal RNA
Rfam family: Bacterial small subunit ribosomal RNA
Source: RNAcentral